This is a long non-coding RNA of Pseudopipra pipra, 1188 nucleotides long. RefSeq lists it as uncharacterized. NCBI's taxonomy places the organism in Eukaryota, Metazoa, Chordata, Aves, Passeriformes, Pipridae. The transcript is spliced from 3 exons. The record is from RefSeq and is a predicted model, not a curated record.
CAUGAACAGCAAGUGGAGGAAGAGUUUGAAAGCGGGCUGGACAGAAGCAGAAGUGUUACUGCCCACUCUUAGGCCACUGUGCUGAUUAAAUGGGUGUUGUUAGGUUUAGAUUAGUAGUUUGUUGUUGUUGGGUUUUUCGGUGGUGUUGAUUUUUUUUGUUGUCGUUGUGGGGGAUUGUUUGUUUGUUUGUUUUUAUUUUGGUUUUUUUUCUGUAUUAAAAAUCUGGCUCAGUUACUCUCUAGUUCUGGUGUGUUCUCUUUUCCAGGUGGUUGGUGUUUCUGCAGUGUUUGGCACAGGACUGGGGGAGAUUUUUACCCAGCUUUCUAAAGCUGUAGAUGAAUAGGAGAGACUGAAUGCACUCCCUUUAUUCACCUUUUCAGAGAGUAUCGGCCAGAAUACGAGCGCCUGAGAAAAACACUGGACAGUUCUCUGCAGGCACAGCUACACAGAGUUUGGCUUCCCGGCGCUGCUGAAAACGUCCUAGAAUCCCACCUGACUGGAGGUUGCUUUCCAUGCUUAGUCAGAAGUUCUGUGUAACCUGAGUUGAAAUGUAAGACCUGCGUAGUGACUUCUGCUCUCUGACUGGGGGACAGGCUGCUGGGUUUGGGUGAGGUUUCUCUUCUCCUGAUGUUUUAAAUGUUCUCAGAAUCCACAUGUAAAUCUUUGUCUACGGGAGAAAGCUCAAAAUAAACAAAAGAGAGAGCAGCUGGAACACUUGUGGAAGGACAUGGGCAGCGUGUGUGUGCAGGGCAGCACACUGGCAGGUACCUCCCCAGGAAGAUAAAGUUUACUGCAGAAGUUUUCUGAAGAGUUUGCCUUGUGAAGUAGUACAGUGCUUCUUUGUCCUCACAGCAGAAAUGUGAAAGCAGCUCCAUGUUAGAGGAGCAGGGCUUUAGUUCCUGUGGGAUUGGUCACACUCAGCUCGUCCUGUGUCAGUCACAGGUUUGGAAGAAACCCCGCUGUGUAGCUAAAGCAGUGGACCUACUAGAAAUAAUGAAAUACUUUAGAAAAGGCGAAACAGUCAGAUCAGAAUAUGAGAAAGCUCUGCUGUUGGCUGCACUGUUCCUUAGAUGAGGCGAGUAGGUGCUGAUGGAGUCUGUCCUGUGUCUGGGAUCCACAAGCAGCUUUCUGUCCCCUUAGAGCAGGUGUUCAUUGCUGGGUUUCUGUGCAGAUAGAAACCUUACCUUU